UGGGGAAUAUUGCACAAUGGGCGCAAGCCUGAUGCAGCCAUGCCGCGUGUAUGAAGAAGGCCUUCGGGUUGUAAAGUACUUUCAGCGGGGAGGAAGGUGUUGUGGUUAAUAACCACAGCAAUUGACGUUACCCGCAGAAGAAGCACCGGCUAACUCCGUGCCAGCAGCCGCGGUAAUACGGAGGGUGCAAGCGUUAAUGGGACUUACUGGGCGUAAAGCGCACGCAGGCGGUCUGUCAAGUCGGAUGUGAAAUCCCCGGGCUCAACCUGGGAACUGCAUCCGAAACUGGCAGGCUUGAGUCUUGUAGAGGGGGGUAGAAUUCCAGGUGUAGCGGUGAAAUGCGUAGAGAUCUGGAGGAAUACCGGUGGCGAAGGCGGCCCCCUGGACAAAGACUGACGCUCAGGUGCGAAAGCGUGGGGAGCAAACA
RNAcentral lists this ribosomal RNA (427 nucleotides) under uncultured bacterium. RNAcentral's name for it is "partial 16S ribosomal RNA". It matches the Rfam family "Bacterial small subunit ribosomal RNA", at positions 355 to 774 of the family's 1533-position model. The record is from RNAcentral.